This 400-nucleotide ribosomal RNA is filed under the name uncultured bacterium. RNAcentral describes it as "bacterial SSU rRNA". It matches the Rfam family "Bacterial small subunit ribosomal RNA", at positions 355 to 747 of the family's 1533-position model. The record is from RNAcentral.
UGGGGAAUAUUGGACAAUGGGCGCAAGCCUGAUCCAGCAAUGCCGCGUGUGUGAAGAAGGCCUUAGGGUUGUAAAGCACUUUCAGUGGGGAGAAAGUUACGGGUGUUAAUACCAUUCGUAAUUGAUGUUACCCACAGAAGAAGCACCGGCUAACUCUGUGCCAGCAGCCGCGGUAAUACAGAGGGUGCAAGCGUUAAUCGGAAUUACUGGGCGUAAAGCGUGUGUAGGUGGUUGCGUAAGUUAGAUGUGAAAUCCCCGGGCUCAACCUGGGAAUUGCGUUUAAAACUGCGUAGCUAGAGUAUUGUAGAGGAUAGUGGAAUUUCCAGUGUAGCGGUGAAAUGCGUAGAUAUUGGAAGGAACACCAGUGGCGAAGGCGACUAUCUGGGCAAAUACUGACACU